UCUCCGUUGGUGAACCAGCGGAGGGAUCAAUACCGAGUUUACAACUCCCAAACCCCAUGUGAACCUUACCAAACGUUGCUUCGGCGGGAUGCCCCGGGCGCGGGCCGCAAGGCCUCAGCCCCGGAACCAGGCGCCCGCCGGAGGCCCAAACCAAACUCUUGUUUUUGUAGAAUCUUCUGAGUGGCCUUUUAGGCAAAAAAUGAAUCAAAACUUUCAACAACGGAUCUCUUGGUUCUG
This 237-nucleotide unclassified non-coding RNA is filed under the name plant metagenome. RNAcentral describes it as "partial contains small subunit ribosomal RNA, internal transcribed spacer 1, and 5.8S ribosomal RNA". The record is from RNAcentral.